CCGGUUGAUCCUGCCGGAGUGACUGCUAUCGGAUUGAGACUAAGCCAUGCGAGUCAUUGUAGCAAUACAAGGCAGACGGCUCAGUAACGCGUAGUCAAUCUACCCUAUGGACGGGAAUAACCUCGGGAAACUGAGAAUAAUACCCGACAGAACAUUAUACCUGGAACGGUUUAUGUUUCAAAUGAUUUAUCGCCGUAGGAUGGGACUGCGGCCUAUCAGUUUGUUGGUGAGGUAAUGGCCCACCAAGACUAUUACAGGUACGGGCUCUGAGAGGAGUAGCCCGGAGAUGGGUACUGAGACACGGACCCAGGCCCUAUGGGGCGCAGCAGGCGAGAAAACUUUGCAAUGUGCGAAA
Molecule: ribosomal RNA, 355 nt
Filed under: uncultured archaeon
Lineage: Archaea
Description: bacterial SSU rRNA
Rfam family: Archaeal small subunit ribosomal RNA
Source: RNAcentral